UAUGAACGUGCCACUGCACUCCAGCCUGGGCCACAGAGCAAGACCCUGUUUCAAAUAAAAUAAAAGAAGUUACCGAAAUACAGAUGUGCAAUUUUUAUUCCUUAGCCUAGUCUCAUCUCUGCUGCGUUUGACUACUGUUCACAUAUUAAUUCCACCAAAAUUUAAGUUCCUCCUCUGUGGCAGGGAAGCGCCCUUAACAGAAGCUGGGGAAACAACCAGGAACAAGACAGAUGCUGUGCCUACCCUCCUGGGGAUUACUUUCGAGUUGAGAAAGGAGAUAUUAAAUGGAGAAGGAAAAUAAGUUGCUGAGAAAUUAAAGGAAGACAGGUGACCUUUUGAUUUGAGAUGUCAAGAAAGUGCCCUCUGAAGAGGUUCAGUAAACUGAGAAGAAGCCAGCUCUGUGGAGAUAUCAGGAAAGAACAGCCAACAGAAGGAUCUACAUGUGAGCAAGCAACAGGGAAGGAGAAGAAUGUGGCGCCUUGAAGAAAGUGAGAAAGUGGGUCAUGGGAAGCACGGAGGAGGAGAUCAACAAGGCCAGGAGAAUCCCCAUCAUGCACAGACUCUCUGGGACCCUGUGAGGGAUACGGAGUUUAUUCCAAGUGUAAUGGGAAACUAGUGAAGAGUUUUCAACACGUGAGUGACAGGAUCUCGUUUCGUAACAUCACCCUGCUUGCUGCUGUGUAUACAUGGAACUUUUGAGAAACAAUUUAAAAAGAUGCAAAGAGAAGAGGUGCUUUUGCAAUGAGCAGGUUCUCUUUCCUGCUGAGUUGUGAAGAAGGUGCCUGCUUCCUCUUGCACGUGAUUGUUAAGUUUCCUGAGGCCUCCCCAGCCCUGCAGAACUCUGGACAAGUCUGACGCAGAAAGCUGGACAAGUCUGACGCAGCCGGGGACAGCUGGUCAUUUUAAAAGCUCCCUGGAAAAAGUCGCUGGUGCCAUAUGACUGACUGACUUCAAGCUGGCCUUAGAAAUUACUUGGAAAAAUUCAGACUGCUAAGCAAAGAGAUAUUCUAGAUAUGGAAUGAGAGGAAGAAAGAGAAGAAGGUAAGUCCAAGAUUGCUUUCUUGAUGCCCCCAGUAGCGAACAUAGUACCCAUUAGCUUUAAAUUCCAAAAGCUUUAGUACUGACCCCAGUUCUAGGUACACAUGGGAAAUGCGUUCUGCCACCUUUCCUCAGGGCUUCUGGCCUCCUAGGUUCCUGUUCUCUGCCUCUCUAUACCUAGGGCUUGUUUACCUGGCACUAAACAAUUUACCAUUUUUCAUUUCACUUCACUUUCCAUCUGAUUUAAAUUUUUCAAACAUGCAACAUUAUCUUCAAUAGAUCAUUU
Molecule: long non-coding RNA, 1324 nt
Organism: Rhinopithecus roxellana (golden snub-nosed monkey)
Lineage: Eukaryota; Metazoa; Chordata; Mammalia; Primates; Cercopithecidae
Exons: 4
Source: RefSeq, a predicted model, not a curated record